Molecule: unclassified non-coding RNA, 227 nt
Filed under: Hevea brasiliensis (rubber tree)
Lineage: Eukaryota; Viridiplantae; Streptophyta; Magnoliopsida; Malpighiales; Euphorbiaceae
Source: RNAcentral
AACCUUCAAAUUAAUCUAAGAUAUAUAUUUCACAGGGUUUCUCGCAGGUCUGGGGUCGGCAACUGUCUUCACAGUCGCUUCCUAGUAUGGUCACCCAUCGCCGUGACUUUGGCUCCUUUAACCUACUUGCACUUUAUUUUUUUUUAUUUUUCCUUAAUUUUACUUGGUCUUUAUUUAACCACUUCAUGACUCCUCACUCUAGCUUAAGUGUAGUUCCAGACAUCCUG